UAUUAGUAGAUUGCAUUUCUACUAUUAAAAAAUGGCAUAGGUGACAGAAUAACCAAAUAGUAAUACGUGAUGUGUCACGUGUACUAUAUGCUAAUGUAUAAGGACAAGCUUUUUACAGUAAAAAUGGAUAUGAAAUUUUUAAUA
Molecule: non-coding RNA, 144 nt
Organism: Gossypium raimondii (Peruvian cotton)
Lineage: Eukaryota; Viridiplantae; Streptophyta; Magnoliopsida; Malvales; Malvaceae
Source: Rfam